CGAUGCUCUUCACAGCACAAGGAGAGACUGCCAGUACAGAAGGACAUGAAAUAUGUUACACUCUUCUUCAACUCAUUUUCAGCUCAUAGUCAAGGAAACUUUUCUUUUGGGCUAUUGACAGCUUCUAACAAUAAGUAUUGUUUCUGUGAACAAAAUCUGGAAUAUAUUUGUUUCUCUCUACCUGAUUUCUCCAGAAUAUGAAAACUAUUUGAUAUGAGACUUCACAACCUGCUAAAAUGAGCUUUCCUAAUAACUCAGGAUCUACCCAUCUAAGAAUAAACCAUCC
Long non-coding RNA from Rhinopithecus roxellana (golden snub-nosed monkey), 286 nucleotides. RefSeq lists it as uncharacterized. NCBI's taxonomy places the organism in Eukaryota, Metazoa, Chordata, Mammalia, Primates, Cercopithecidae. The record is from RefSeq and is a predicted model, not a curated record. The transcript has 4 exons.